Molecule: ribosomal RNA, 434 nt
Filed under: uncultured Bacillota bacterium
Lineage: Bacteria; Bacillati; Bacillota
Description: bacterial SSU rRNA
Rfam family: Bacterial small subunit ribosomal RNA
Source: RNAcentral
UGUAUGUACCUUAUGAAUAAGCAUCGGCUAACUCCGUGCCAGCAGCCGCGGUAAUACGGAGGAUGCGAGCGUUAUCCGGAUUUAUUGGGUUUAAAGGGAGCGCAGACGGGUCGUUAAGUCAGCUGUGAAAGUUUGGGGCUCAACCUUAAAAUUGCAGUUGAUACUGGCGUCCUUGAGUGCGGUUGAGGUGUGCGGAAUUCGUGGUGUAGCGGUGAAAUGCUUAGAUAUCACGAAGAACUCCGAUUGCGAAGGCAGCACACUAAUCCGUAACUGACGUUCAUGCUCGAAAGUGUGGGUAUCAAACAGGAUUAGAUACCCUGGUAGUCCACACGGUAAACGAUGGAUACUCGCUGUUGGCGAUAUACUGUCAGCGGCUUAGCGAAAGCGUUAAGUAUCCCACCUGGGGAGUACGCCGGCAACGGUGCAACUCAAAU